UGUGCCAGUGCUUGACAAUAUAUUUCAGAGCAAAGAAAUAAACAUUAAGAAAAACUAAACAAACCAACUGGAAUCAUCAAGUUGAAUACGUAUCUAGGAAUAUUUCAGGCUAAUUUCUGCAAACAGUUCUGUAUUUGAAUAACUUGAAUAAUCUUUUUGACAUGGGUAAACUCCUGUCUGCAUGAUAUACAGGAGCCAACAUGGCUGGGGAAGUGCUUUAUUUUGCUCCUUAAUUAUUGCAAUUUCAGGAAGAGGGGAGUUACUGUCUUCUGGUUCCACAUAACGAGAUAAAAGCACAUGAACUUGCAAGGUGUCACAACAUUUCACUAAAAACUAAACCAGCCUAAAGGAAAUUAUGUAACUCAGUGUAGCUUCUUCUAUUGCAUCACACCCCCAAAUGAGCUGUCACUGGAGGACUGGGGGUUUGUCACUGGGACACCAGCUCCUGUGCUCUUCACGACAUGUCCUGCACAUCCCACCUCCAUACCUGUGCAGGGAAGGGGUUAUUCUUCUUCAGAAGCACGAAAGAGCCCCUCUUAUCACAGAGGAAAUUUGUUUCUGAGGGUGGCUGGUAAGUACAUUUUGUCUUUUGUGGAAAAGGUGAGUCAUAUCCUUGUCAGAAAUACAAACUGCAGGUAAGAAAGCCCUGAACUGUGUGCUUGGCAUUUGUGUAAAAGUCUCCAGAUAACAAAACUACAUAAUGAUUAUUUGAAUGUUUGAUAGAGAUAAUUACUGUUUAUAUAGCUCGAUAUCUAUAUGGAUAGCCAUGUAACAGCUAUGAAGUAUAACCUCUUUCACACAGAAGUAUAUAUUAAUUUCUGGGAAUGGUUCUGGAUUCUGGGUGCUUUGUGUUUUGACAGAAGGAGGGUCUCUGGGGCACAGGCUGCCCUUACAGCCUCUCCUGUGGGCAUCUGUGAGCAGCCUCCGUUAACAGAAGGCCAGCUGGGAGGAGCCCAGCAUCCCAGUGGAAGGUCCAGUCUCCCAUACCUUGGCUCAGCUUCUUUCCAGCUGAGUCAAGCCAGGAUAUCCCCUAACUGAAUUACUCACAGGCCUGUGGCUGUUACCCUGAUGCUGCAGCACCAGUUGAACACAAAGAAAAUACUGCGGUGGCAGUGUGGGAAGGAGAGAGGAGAGUGGAUUGCCCACCCAAAGCUUGGAAGAUGAAGCAAAGACAGGAGGAUUUCUACCUUUAGAGGACUCAUACACAAAAAGACAACGCAGAAAGAACUGUGUCCUCUCAAUACCACCUAAAGAGUCUCCGCUGUGCCUUUUGCAACUGGACUUGUCUAUCUCAAAUUGGCCUUUUCAGCCACCAGUGUGCUUGUAACAAACGUGGGUAGAGCCCUCCCCAAAUCCUCGUGGGCGAAGCCUGGCCAUGAUGAUGAUGAUGAUGAUGAUGACAUGCUUAACAAACUAAUAUAUACAGGAGCUGUAAUUAAUUAACUCGAGUUGUUCUGCUGGCUCGUAAGGUACUGAUCAGAAGGUUGCAGUCUCUAGGAUGGUGUAUUUAUUAGAAAAGAGCUGAGACUGGUUUUCAUGCUGAAGAUAUUCCUGCUUCAACGUCGCUCUGAAGGAAAUGUUGAAGGAGACAAAAUGAUUGAAAAAAAUAUAACCCCCAUGUCUUUUAUAUGCAAGGUUAGGACAAAAUACAAAAAAUUGGAAUGUGAGCUGUAUUUAUUACAUGGGCUGAACACUUGCCACGUGCCAAAAUUUUCCAUGCAAAUAGAACACUUGUGGGUUGAAAUGAAGAGUAGUUUUUUACUGCUUCUGUAAGCACACAGAUCCAUUGUCAGCUCCAAGCUCCCUAGAGCUGUCUAUGGACAGUUCUGCACAGUCCUGUUACAGGUUUGUCUAUGCCUGUGAUUCAGUGUGGACAGAACUGAAACUUCCACGUGUCCCCAGAUGCUGGUAAAAUAAACAGCAGGAGAAAGGGAUGAUUUUCUGCAGCUUUUCCACCUAGUUCUGCAGCAGGCUCUGAUUACAGGGCAAUUUUCCAGUAAGAACAACUGAGGUCAGAGUGAGAACUAAGAAAAUCAAUUAGAAAACAGAUCUGUGAGGUACCCUUCAAGACAUCUCAAUGAGACUUCAUAACAUGGCCUCCUCAUUCCCCUACUUCAAGAGUCUGUAUUGAACUAUUUACAGUCUAUAUAAACAAAGAAUGAGUGAAACCAGAGUGUUUUGAGAACCAGAUGAGGAGGUUGCCCUUUCCUCCUUCUCCACACCUGGCAGAGAGAUGAUGUUUCCAGUAAGAUUGACCUGUACAGCUGUACUUGGGGAUUGAAUUUCUCUUCUAUUCAAUUUUUUUUCAAUUUUCAAUUUUUUUCAAUUUUUUUUCCCUUGUGCUUCUUGCCUGUCCGGUAACACUUUAAAGGGCCCAACCCCACCUUUACAUCCAAGACUCACUGCUGACCACAACCUCUUUCACUAGAGCUUUGUCAUCCAAGCCCUCAGUUCAACUCCUGCCAUAAUUCUUUCUCUUACGUGUUUACAUUCCUCAUAUUCCCACUUCAAACCCUUCACUGCAUGACAUCCUCUUUGUCACCACACCAGGCUAUGUAUAAUAUCUCAGGGAACACCUGUUUUCUGCAGGUUUUCUGUCUCCUUGUCACUGGAUCAGCAGGAGUAGCUGGGCCAGCAAGGCAACUCGAGCCCGACGCGCUUUCCUGCAGAAUCACCACGAGAUUUUGGAAUACACUGUCAGCACUUUGCUUGGGCAGCACAGGGGGAAUUGCUGGUUGUGUUCUCUGCAGUCAGACCUUUUGGCCUUGAGCAUGUGGUCUAAGCCGUGUUUUUAAAGCUUCUGCAGUGCUGGGAGCUGGAUUGUCCCUCCGUGCGAUGAGGCAGCCAGUUCUCACACUGCCUUCUGUCCCUUCCUCCUUGUGCUGAUGGUACACCAGGAGAAAAGAGAGAGAGAGAGAAGACUGUGGAUUGGGGGGGCCCAAGAACUUGGGCAGUAAUUAGGAAAUCUACAAAAUGGAGUGACUGGUGGUGGGAUCUCACCUAUUUCCCUUGGUAACUGGGUACCUUAAACUUCUCCAGUUAAGCAGCACUGCUGGUAGAUGGCUGAUGGUGGUUUGGCAAGUUCUUUCACUGACUGCCUCGUUGCUCCAGGGUGGAUCCCACUGGGACUCAUAGACCCUAACUGGCAUAGCAGGUCAGUAACCAUCUCAUGGGGGCUUCACUCAGCUCCCCAUCCCCAACUUCUAGCCCUGGGGGCUGGGUAUCCUGAGGACAACUAGUCUUGAUAUUAAAGAGUGAGGCAAAGAAGAAAGACUGAGGCAAAGAAGACUGUUGUUGAUAUCCUUGUUGCCAAACAUCAGAGAGGACAAACCCUGGAGUUGGAUGCUCAGGCACAGAAGGUGCAGCUGCCAUCACAGAGGGAAAGCAGGUGAAGAGCCAGGGCUCAGCAGAGUGGGAGGACCUGACCAGUGAGCAACAGCUGCAUUGAAGCAAAGAAGCCUCCACACCUACUUUGUUGAAAUCCAGUAGGUCUUGCGUUACUGUAAAUGGGUUUAAUUGUAUGUUCAGGUGACAAAUCAUUCCUCCAAGUAUUUAGUCAUUAAAAAAAAUUCCCAGGAAAAAAAAGUCUGUGGGUGCCAGGUAUUUUAUGACAGCAGAGUCACUGAGGUGAAUCCUCGCCAAGCGUGAUGAGGACAUGCUUUUUUCCCAACACACCAGGAGCCUUCCAAGUGUUUUGUUAAAACUUUUGACCUAUGGCUUAAUGCUCUUCUCUCAGAUGGUUACAUCUGUCCUGCCAAUGACCAAGGGAAUAUUGACUGCCCCAGGUAGGCUGCCUUAGAUCGAUGAUGGUGUCAGUUGUGUGUAGGUAUUGCUCUUGACCCAAUCGUUUUAUCCCAAACAUGGCACUUAUAUUUUAUUGUUUCAAGCACAGUUUACAGUGUUCUUCUGUAUUAAAGACUCUCAUGUGGCAGCUUUCCACAAGCAGAGAUUUUUAUUUUUAUUUUAGAAUAAAAGCAAACAGAAGAUUGUAAGGAAUUUAUCCAGUUUUGGACAAAAGCUUCAUUUGAGAGUGAUAUUUUAAAGGCAAAAAUGUCAUACUAUAAGUUUUUCUUCACCCUAUAGCAUCAUUGAUUCAAUACACACUUGCCUGGCUUCUUAAGAACGUUAUUAACUGUAAUUUCUUCAGAGUAAUGGGAUUUAAUCAUGCAUAUUUCCACAUACUCCCUAGCCUUGGGGCAUUUCCAGCUGAAGGUGAGCAUGAUCAGACCUGAGACAAGAGCACAGGAAAGAGAGGGUGUGGAGGUCAUUACGCAGGAGACAGUGGGAUGAGAAAUUACUCAAAGACCCAAAGCUUUCCUGGGAGGAUUAUCAAAAAGGAGAAGUCAUUUCAGUAUAAGAACAUGGAGCAGGCAGGAGAGCAGUGGCAGGAGGAGCAAACGUGUGACUCCCAGAGGUGGCUGUAACAACCAAAACAAUGUUUAUACACUACUUGAUCUUUUGAAAGACAAGGGAAAAAGAGGGCAGGAAUAAAGAAAGAGACAGUUUUACCCCA
Molecule: long non-coding RNA, 4513 nt
Organism: Pipra filicauda (Wire-tailed manakin)
Lineage: Eukaryota; Metazoa; Chordata; Aves; Passeriformes; Pipridae
Exons: 2
Source: RefSeq, a predicted model, not a curated record